Molecule: long non-coding RNA, 16007 nt
Filed under: Lynx pardinus (Iberian lynx)
Lineage: Eukaryota; Metazoa; Chordata; Mammalia; Carnivora; Felidae
Source: RNAcentral
CAGACAUGUCGGGGGUCCGGGUGGUGUCGCGGCUCCUGGGCGCCCGGCGCCUGGCACUGACUAGGGCGGUGAGUCGGCGCCGUGGGGCGGGCAGGGCGCGGGGAGCCGAGGAGGGGCAGGACUUCCCACGGGGCGGAGCGGACGCCGAGUCCCCCCGGCGCCGGACCGGGACGGGGUCGCGAGGGUCUGGGGGAGGAUGCGGUGAGGAGGCCGCCCGAAGGGGUGGGGCCGACCCGGAGGGCCGCGGGACUCCUUCUGAAGCCAGCGAGUCGCGUCCCGGUGAAGGUCAUGACCCCGCUUGCCGUCCCCGGGGACCCUUCCCCAGAGUACUAAGGUCGCCCCCGCCCCAGCCUUCGGCGCGUGGGGAGGCGUGUUUGCCCGAGGUCACCCUGACAGGUGGCGGCCCGUGGGUGCCCCGGGCCUCUGAAUCCAAAAGCGCCCUUAGAUCUCCGGCGGAGGCGGGCCGGCAACCGCAGGCGCGCGCCGGCCGGGCGCUGUGCCGAUCGCCCUGGGGACGGUCCGUCGGGUGCCAGCAGCCCCGAGGACCCGGCCGGGCUCGGCCCUCCCGCCCCAGGCAGGGUAGGUGGGAGGCACGUCUGACACCGGCGCUGGCGCUUGCCUGGCAACUGUUUGCAAAACCGCGCUUCUUCGGGGAAAGCGAAGACCCGUGUUUCACACCGGGAUCUGGCAACUUUUGGACCUUCAUUUUGGGUUUUGUAUGGUGGCCUUUUGCGCACAUUAGAAAACCAGGCGAAGAACGUCAGCGCUCUGACCGCAGACCACGUUCGGGCGACGGCGCCGGGAAGUCUGAUUUCCCGUGCGUUGUCUGCCCGGACUCCGGUCAGUCGUGGAUGACCGUCAGGGUUGUGCCUUCUGGAGCCCUUGCUUACCGGAUUGUGUCAGAUGUACUCCUUACAGUUACGUCUUCAGGAUCUACCUUUUCAGGUUUUAUUUCAGCACACUAAACUUGGAGGGGUUGUUGUUUGGGUUCUUUUAUAUGAUCCGCCUGCCCACCUACUUAGUAAUGUAAUUACAGAGUGAAAAUCCCAGUGGGAACCGAGGCAUUCAACAGUAUUGACAGGAGUUAUGCCUGUAGUUAUACCUGCAAUUUUCUCCAUUUUGAAAUACAGAUACUAAAAAUUAAGUUAAAUGUGAGAAGGUUAACUCCGCCAUCCUGCCAAUGCCAGAGAACGUUUUCAAUGCUUUCUCGUGCUGCUGUGGUUGAUGCUUCCUGAGCAGAGGUCCCCACUCUCCACACCCCACCCAUCUUGGGCUCUAAGUCCACAAGCUGGAUGGGCAGUGGGAUAUUCUUCGGCAAACGUGAGCAGACUUCUUAGUGCCUCCUGCUUGUUAAGUGCAGUGACCAGUAACUGGUGGUGCUGGGAGAAGAGCUAAACAUGUGUGUCCUCGGUCACCCCAGCGUUCUUGUGCAGACUAAGACCCCUCCAGUCUGUGGAACUCCCUUGACCACCUGCCUGCCCUUUGUUUAUGACCUUGUUGUCCUUUAUGUAAACUGGACUAGAAUUCUAGCUCUGAGCUCUGAGCUGCAAGUGAGAAUAAGAUUCUGAGCACCACUGGUCAGAGUGUGUAAACCUGUACUUUUGUAUUGGCUUGAUUGGAAGUUAUCUUGGUUGAAUCAACUAUUAGCUGCCAGCAUUUACCCUUCUUUUUACCUUGAUGAAGAUAGCUUUUCCUGUGGAAAUUAAUUCUGCCCCCAAGCAGUAUAUGUAGUGGAAUUUAAGAUUGGCAAAAACAAAAGCAUCAACUUAGAACAACAACAACGAAAUGUAUGAUCACCAACUGAGAAAUGUGCACGGAGAGUAGAUGAUGAGGGUAGUUUGAAUAAAAUCCACAGAGAAUUUUUCUUGAUUUCAUUUUGUUCAAUUCUCUGGUGUUUCCAAGGCAGUUUAUAUUUACAGCUGCUUUCAAGUUGCAAAAUCAUCAAACCUAUUUUGCGUUGGUUUCAUUUUUAGUUAUCUUAAUGCACUGACAUAAUUUGCAGACUGUUCUGGUGUAUUGAAAGGAAAAGUAAAAGCAAGGUCCUUAAAUAGUUGCUGGUUAAUUGCUUCAGAUGAGAUUUUUCAAAUUCUUUAACAUGGAUAUCCAAAGUACUGUUCUAGAGUAAGUCAGUUUUUCUUUGAAUGUAUUGUUUUGAAUUUGGCUUAAUGAUGUAUCUAGAAUUACAUUAUUUAGGCCAUUGUGGUAACCUUUUUUGUUUUCCUUUUUGGGGUAAUUGUACCGCUGUGGCAUUCAUUUCUGCAUUCUGUGGGAUGUUUUUCCUGGUUCACUGGAAAAAUUGUGGCUUGGUUUUGAUACGUAAUCUGGAUAUGCAUCUUAUUUUGGAGUCCCAGAGAUUUUUCCUAAGGCUCCUUACCUAGGGGGGAUGUACUGAAUCUGGUACCAGCCAGGCAGACCAGAGUUCAGACCCUGGAUAGACUCCAUUUCUCUUUCAUGAGGGUUCUGGGAGGUAGCCUGUGACGCCCUGGUGUGGUGAUCAUUCUAGCCAGGACCUACACCUACAGCCUGUGCUCGAUAAUCUUGUGAAUUGUAUUCUAAGCAUCCCUGUUUUAAAAACCUUUAAACUUCUAAUGAAAAUAAUUACACAUAGUUAUAAAAAAAAAAGUCAAGGAAUACAGAGGCUUUAUAAAUGAAAAGGAUUGAGACCCUCUCCUAACCUCAGACCUGUUCCCCAGUGAAAUCACUUCUGAAUUGUUUCUGUUAUUGGCCGCUGGUGUUUACCUCCAUGUCUCUAGCUAAUGUGCAGGCUUACGUUCAUCCAUUUUGGACUUUGACUUGUGGCUCUGAAUGAGGACUCAGUUCGCUUAAACCAUCUUCCCCCAUCCUCAGUUCUUCCCAUGGCCUUCCAAGGCACUUUCAGAGCCUUUAUGGGCUGCUUUUCUUAUUAUACAGAUUGUACUUACAAAUAGUUUCUUGUCUGCAAUUCAUAGGUGAACGCUAUCAGAUGGGGACCUGUACUUCGCUAGAUUAAGGGUUUCAAUAUCUCUGCCCUUCUCUUCAGUUUUCUCCCUUUUACCAUUUAAGUCAUUCACUUGUGCUUUCAUGUCAUUAAAAGCUCUGUUUCUUUUAAUUCUGCCUCCAAGGCAGAUUUCCUCACGCUUCUUUACGUUUCCCUGUUGGAAAAUGUUUGAUAGUUUUACUUCAAAAAAUGUUAAAUAGUUUUAUUUAUAGACAAAUUGGGUUAAUUUUGGGCUCUCCAGAUUCUAAAAUUGCUCCUCAAAUCCGAUUUGGAUAAAAAGCUAGUAUUCUAUUUUCCACAGGGAGAUAGUAUGAUAAUUUGUUAGAGAUUUCAUUUUAACAGCUGCCAGUGUUUGAGAUGGCCGUGUGUGUCUAUCUUUAUUUAACGUGAACAUCCUAGAAAGAAGAAAUAAAUACUUAGGGAAUCUCACUGUUACUAUUUUACUUUUUUACAGUUCAACUUAAGCAGGUAAGUUUAAUGAUCAGAACAAAAAUGGGAUCGCUUAGGAAAAACUAUAUAAAAGACGCUUUACAGUAUAAUAUGUCCUUUUCAUGUUGAUUAUUUUUAUAGGAUUUAAUAUGUGAUUAUUCUUCAGUUUUCUGAAUUAAAAUUGUUCAGGUGGCCAUAAAAUCUGGAAACAUAGACAAAUAUACAUAAUAAAUAGUUUACUCAUAUUCCAACAAAUGUUCAAUGAAUGUGCUGUUCCUCAUUAGCAUUUCAUACUUUAACAAGUUAUGCAAAACUGCAUGUGCACCAAAGCACUAUUUCCAUCAAUCCUCGUACAUCCACCUACAACGAAUCGCUUGUGGGGAUUUGUGUGUCUCACUUUCCCUGAAUAAACGUGUGCCUUUAGCACACCCAAGGUGUAAUUAAGGAAGAAGUGUCUGUCAUCUGUGUUUCUGGAUUGUGUGGUCCUGUUUUUGGUUUUGUUUUUUUUUUUAAGUUUCACCUACUAUAAGUCUUAAAAACAUUUUUGACCAUUCGUAUUAUACCAAGAAAAAAGAUGAAUACUAAAUACAAGCUAAUGGAAAAACAAAAAUUCAUUUGUUUUACCUUUCUAUUCCACAUCACAACAUUUUACUGAAAAUGAAGGGAUUUUUCAUCUAUAGAUAAAAGACUCUAAAUGGUACUUAGGUUGUUUUACAAGUUUGAUUUUAAAAUCGUUUAGAAUUCACAAUGGGUCUUACACACAAUGAUUUCAAUAAAUCAGGCACUCCAGAGCACAAUUGGAGGUGUAACAAUUAUGUGAUGACUUCUUAACAGUCCAAGGAGAUAAAGACCUUUUUUUCAAAUAUGGAAAGAAAUUAAUCUUUCUGCAGUAUUAACCCCUAAAAGCUAUCUUCCUUUAUAGACUACAAUAUUAUUGUCAAUUUAAUAUACUUUUAUUUUUUUUAAUCUUAUUUUUAAUGUUUGUUUUACUUUUGAGAGACACAUCCAGUGCGAACGGGGGAGGGACAGAGAGAGAGGGAGGCGCAGAAUCCUAAGCAGGCUCCAGGCUCUGAGCUGUCAGCACAGAGCCUGAUGCAGGGCUUGAACCCAUGAACCGUGAUAUCAUGACCUGAGCCGAAGUCAGAUGCUUAUCUGACUGAGCCACCCAGGCACCCCCAUAUACUUUUAAAAAGAACUCCCAGAGGAAGAAAUUUCUGGAGGUUUUCCCAAAUAUAUACAGCUACUUUUUCUGUCAUGCUUACAACAUCUGCAAAGUACGGAAUGUUCAAAUGCAGAUUCUUAUGAUCAAGGGGCUCCAUAAUUGCCUCCUCCAUAUACUCUUUGAGGUCAGUCACUUUCAUAACUAUUCCUGUAAUAGGAUCAAUCUCUCCAUGUACUGUCACCACAACUUUAUAAUUGUGCACGUGGCCAUUUGGAUUGUUGGCAUUCCCAAACAAUUUCAAGUUUUCUUCAUUACUCAGAGAUGUGCUGUGGAGCCAGUAGGUCGCUCUGAGGGAGAUGAGGUGGGACAGUUGCGUGGUGUUCUUGGCUUGCCUUCCCACUUGGUUGGUGGUGGGGCUGGGACAGGCUCUCUGUUUCUAUUUUGAUUUCAAUUUGGUAUUGUAAAAUGUAUUGUUCUUUUUUGGAACUAUUACCUUUAUCUUGUACUUCAUUAAAAUUUCAUGAACAUUUGUAUUUUGCUGACUUGGUUAUUUGUUAAGAUGUGAUUUUUACCAUUUAAAAAUUAUACUAAAGCAGAAGAAUAUUCUUUUUAAGUUUUUUAAUUCGUUUACUGGACAAAAAGUUGACUUAUGUCAAUAAAAACAAAAGUACUUAUGGGCGCUUGGGUGGCUUAGUCGCUUAAGCAUCUGACUUUAGCCCACAUCAUGGUCUUGUGGUCCAUGAGUUCGAGCCCUGUGUUGGGUUCUGUGCUGACAGCUAAGAGCCUGGAGUCUGCUUCAGAUUCUGUGUCUCCCUCUCUCUCUGCCCCUCCCUGGCUUGUGCUCUCUCUUUCUCAAAAAUAAAUAAACAUUAAAAAAUACAUAUAUACUUAAAGUUGAAAUUGGAGAAUUCAAGAAUAUUGCAUUUAUCAGUUCAGGUCUACUUAGAAAUUCAAGAAACUUCUUUGUAAUUGGAACUGUUAGCAUAAAGUCAACUAUUUGUGGCAGGCAUCAUUUGGUCUCAGUGCUUAAGAAAGUCUAAAAAAAUAUUUUUAAGUUAUUCUUGAGAGAGAGAGCGAGAGGUGGGGAGGGGCAGAGAGAGAGAGAGGGAGAGAGUGAGCAUCCCAAGCAGGCUCUGCACUGUCAGCACAGAGCCCAGAUGCAGGCCUAGAACUCAUGAACUGUGAGAUCGUGACCUGAGCCAAAACCAAGAGUCAGUUGCUUAACUGACUGAGCCACUCAGGUGCCCCUAAAUGCUAAAGAAAGUCUAGAGGUUGGAGCCACCUGCUCCAUUUGCAAGCGGCCAAGCCCUCCAGCCUGGCCUGAGGCCAUUAAUCUUCAAAGAAAGUCCUUCUGUUCAAAACCACUCAGAGUUCAUUUUGUAUUUUGCCAAAUUCUCCUCCCUGAAUUCUCCACUUGUUUGUCCUACAGAAUAAUUUUUUUACCCCACAGAAUAAAUAGCAUCUCUUCCAAACUGCAGAAUACUCGAAGACAUCUCUCAUAUCCCCUUUGUCAUUGUUAAACAUACUUAAUUCCUAAAACUGUUCAUGAAAUUGCUAAGACUUCAUUUUAUCAGUAGCCGUCUAAAAUGCAGUCAUAGAACAGAAAGACAUGCCUUAUAAGUUGGUUUUCAUAUAAAGAAGAUGGCCCCUCAGGCUGGGCUGUGAUUUCAUUAAUACCAAUUUUCUUGAGUAAAUGUGUUCAUAGGGUGGAACAUUUAAGCCAAAACUUGGAGAGUUGGAGAGAUUAGCCAGGGAAUGGCCAGGGACAAGUGUUCAGACAGGGAACAGCACCCUGGAGUAUGACAGAGGAGAGGGGAUGUGGCUACAGCCCAGCGCAGGUGUGGAGAGUGGUGAAGCAGGAGCAUCUCUAGGCCUGGAGUCUUCACAUUCACAGUGAAGGGUUGGUCCCGCUGGUACCCAGUGUCAGGGUGAGCAGUAGAGCCUCUUGUAGAAGAUGGAUCUCCCAAUACACUGUCCCAGGCCUUUUCCAGUGAACCACAAAACCUUGCAGACGUGUGGUGCUAUAGUGUGAAGAGGGUCAUGAUGGAUCCAGUAAAAGUGCUUCAUUGUAAACUACCACUUUCACAAAAUAGAUGGGUUUCCCAUUGUCCACUAAAAACCAUAAAUUAAGAAAUGAACGUGACAUUGUGUCCUUUUCAUUUCCUGCUGAGUCUGUGAGUGUCCUGCUUGGAGACAAGCUUCAUCUAGAAGAGCUUUUCUCGGAGUGCCAACUCCUUGCCACUUGGGCCUGCCCUGGGUCCUUAGUCCGCCUCUACCCUUCAGGGUUAAGUAGAGGACCCCAGGUGAGCUGUCUAGGUGAAGGAGCAGCUGGAUACAUAAAAAGGUUAAUGACUUGGGAAAUUUUGAUGAUUUGUUAUUCUUCUAAGACACUUAAGUGCUCUCCAUCUCUCCAUCUCUGUCUCAGCAGUGGCCCGCGACAUGGCAGGCAGGCACCUGCGGUUUUCACUUCACUAUUGAUGGGAAUAAGAGGUCUUCAGCUAAAGUUUCAGAUUCAGUAAGUUUACAACUUUUUGUUCCCUUAUAAAUGAUAUGCUUGUCUUAGAGGAAUAAUGAUCUAUGCCAGUCUUCAAUAUAUUGGAGUAAUACACAGGUCUUAUUUAAAGGAAAACAUUCUGGUUCCAAUAAUGCUCUAUUUUUAGUGUAUAGCACUUAACUGUAGUACAAAUGUAAGCAUAGUUACUAACAUUUUUUGCUUAUGGUUCUUAAGUAUCUAUAAACCAGAUUAAAAUUUAAAGCAGCAAAAUAAUAAAAUACCAGUGACCACUGAACAUUAUUCAUUGUGACAGAUGACAUAGGACCCUGAAGCCACUUGUGUGUAGGCUCUUGGUGUUUACUGGGUCUGUUCUGUCCUCUGCUGAAGGCACUAAAAUUUGUUUACAAAUUCUUUUCUCACAAGCUCACAAUAGUUACUGAAUACUAGUUGGCACCUUCUCAGUCCAACACAAACAUGGUCCUGAAACCGGGGGGUGGUCCUCAGUGCUGAGGCAGUUGCCCAGAUGAAUCGGAAUGUGCCUACCUAAUUAAAACAACAUACUGGGGCACCUGGGCGGCUCAGUCGGUUAAGCAUCCGACUUCAGCUCAGUUCAUGAUCUCGCGGUUUGGGAGUUGGAGCCCCGCAUCAGGCUCUGUGCUGACAGCUUUCGAUUCUGUGUCUCCCUCUCUCUCUCUGUCCCUCCCCUGCUUGCACUCUGUCUCUCUCUCCUUCAAGAAAUAAAUAAACAUUAAAAAAAAAAAAUUUACCUUUUCUUGAGAAACUUGCUGACCGCAGGUGGAGAAUCAUGAUCUAUAUACUGCAUUAUGAGCUUAGAUUCACACAAGCAUGUGUAUGAAUAUAUGGCUGUCAACGGAAAAAGAUGAACAGAAAGGAUAAUGGAGUAGGAAAGCCGUAUUUAGAACUAAUAUUUUGAUUUGUGUCGUUGCUUUCCUUUGCUUCCACGGUUCCCUGCUUUGAGGCUGUACCUCUUGUUUUCAACAUUUCACUUCAUGGUGGGUGUCCCAGGUGCUAGGAUGCGUGCUCCCUCUUCGUCGGGUCUGUGUUUCGGUCCUGUCGGUGUGGGGUGUGCCAGCCACACACUCUGGGUCCUGGCACAGGGUGGAGGCCCCUCUGCUGUGGUUGCUCUUUCAUCGCUUCUUCCAUUUUGUCUGAGCUCUUGCACUGCACCCACCGUCCCAAUGUGUGGCAUAGGUAAAUGGGUGGUUGACAGGUGAAUUGUUCCUUUCCAGAUUUCUACGCAAUACCCGGUAGUGGACCAUGAAUUUGACGCGGUGGUGGUAGGCGCUGGAGGGGCAGGCUUGCGAGCUGCGUUUGGCCUUUCCGAGGCAGGGUUUAACACGGCCUGCGUCACAAAGCUCUUUCCUACGAGAUCACACACCGUUGCAGCCCAGGUAAGAGAAAGGGGCCCCCUUAAUGGUUUUGGCGCCUGCACAGCAGUGCUCAGUCUUCUGCCACAGGCCUUCUCACUGCACGCCAGCCAUGUUCCUGUCUCUCUGCUCCUUGCACCCACCUGGCUUACUCGCCUUGGGAGUGUGUUCCCACACUGCCUCCACCCCCACUGCCGGAGUCACUCCUAGGGCCUCUUAUCGCUCUGCUGCUCCAGUGACACUCAGGUCUUCUCUGAGCACCCACCUAAUCCUCUGGCCCCCAUCAUAGUUUGUCUUCACUGUACUUUCCCAAUCUAAAAUGAGCCUGUCUCUGGACUGAUUCUCUUGGCCCUGCUGCAUCCUUGGCAUGGGCCUCGUUAAGUAUGAUGAUGAUGAGCUUUGCUGGUGGCAUGAAUGUGCAGGACAGAAGAACAUUGGCCUUUAAAUGCUCAAAAUUUAGGGAAGAGGAUAAAAGUAAGAUGAAAAAGUACACAGUGAUUUUAUAAUUUUGUUUUCUUUCCUGGCACACCGUAGGUGGUACGCAGGUUGUAUAUAGUAUUCCAAAACUGGAAUGAAUUGAACUGUUUUUUCCAGUAUUUGGAACAUAUUUCCUCAUAGAGAUAGCAGAGUGUGGGGUAACUUUCCAGGAACCAGUAAAAGCCACCCUAAUUACUGUUGUAGCCUGUAUUCAGCAUGCAGCAACAUUCUUCAGGCACUUUGCUACACAGAUACUUUGUUCUAAAACUAUGUGUUAUAAACUGAAAAAUAAAUAAUACAUACUUUUGAAGAUUACAUUGUGUCUAAAAGGAAAAAUGGAUGUAAACAUAAGUCUAAAUAAUGAGAAAUAAUAGUAUAUUCAGGUAGUGCAAUAUUAAAACAAUAAAAAGUUAGAAAUGGAUAGCUUACCUUGAAUGCUGGUUGGAGAAAGUAAGGUUUAAUUGGGGGGAUAAGACAGGUGGGGACUGGGCAAGUCUAAAGUGUACUCCUGGGGGGGGCGGGGCACAUGGCUGGCUCAGUCAGUAAAGCGUGCAACUCUUGAUCUCAGAGUCGUGAAUUAGAGCCCUGGGUUGGGUAUAAAGAUUGCUUUUUAUUUUUCUUUGAGUAGGCUCUGUGCCCAGCAUGAGGCCCAGCAUGGGGCUUGAACUCUCGACCCUGAGAUCAAGACCUGAGCUGAGAUCAAGUUGGACACUCAACCGACUGAGCCACUGAGGCGCCCUGAGAUUACUUUAGAAAAACAAAAUUGUAUUUCUUGGGACUCCUGGAAGACCAGCUGUCUGUGGCCCUGAUUCUUACUAGUAGUAGCAAUAAAAUAAUAGCAUGGACAUGUGCACUGGGCCAAGUAUUUAGUGUUAUUUUAAACUAGGUUUCUCUCUUCUGCUACUACUCUGGUACUUAACAGUUUUUACUAGGACUGUGUUUGGGUUUACAAUCGGUGGGGUCGGAGAAGGAGGAGGAAAUAACUUGUGACUUUUGCUGCUUGUCUUGUUAGGGUUCCUGGCUUUGUGCUGGUGACUCUUUUCUUGAUAACUGAAACAUAAUGGGAAACUGAGGCACAGCAGCACCAAGCGGGGAAAGAAUUCCUGCAUGGGUCUGCUUGACUCAGAAGCUUGAUUGAGGAACAUUUGCAAAAAAGAGGGAAGUCAGAAAAUGUGCCUUUUCUUCUCAAAAAGAGAUGAGUAAUCCGGUUUUAAGUUGCGGAGGAAAAGUGUGAGUGUUACAUUUGUCCCUGUACUGCCAUUUUCUGUGACUCUGAGAGACAGACACGGUAGAGAGAAUGUGACUCUGAGUUUAGAGUUUAUUCCUUGACCGUAAGUACUUCUUUAACACAUGUCCAUAAAUGCCACUGGGAACAUUUUGUCAUAAAAUUAUCCCAGAUGGAUUUGCUCAAUACCUUUUAUGUGCCAGGUUUGGAGGUGACGAGCAUUGCUCAUAAAACCGCACUUAACCCUCCAGAUGGCUCUCGAGUUCAGCUUCAUGUCCCUUCAUGGGUAAGGGCACUGAGGCUGAGGGAGGUAAGAUUUGGCGUCUGUCGUGCCUCUCCCUGCUCAGGACGGUCCUGUAACCAACCAGACUGCAGUCAGGUCCCUCACAUGCCGUUGUUGUCAAAAUUAGUUGGUUUUCUCUGAAUCCAGUUUUGGGCAGUGGGUGGAAGGGGGAUGGGCCUGGAAGGUCCAGGGUUCCCUUUCGUAGCUUGUAAGUCUGCCCUGUGUUUACAGGGAGGGAUCAAUGCUGCUCUGGGGAACAUGGAGGAGGACAACUGGAGGUGGCACUUCUACGACACUGUGAAAGGCUCCGACUGGCUGGGGGACCAGGAUGCCAUCCACUACAUGACAGAGCAGGCCCCUGCUUCCGUGGUAGAGGUACUGUCCUUGCAUGGUCUGUUUCUGGUAGAAAAGAGAGGUCGAGGCAAAUGUGGUCAGCCCAAGGAAUGGUAACCAGUUGAUGUAACAAGGGAAAUCUUUCCUAUCAUUAACCAUUCAGUUCAUUUAAUAACAAAGUUUUUCUCUUUUCCUGAAGUGUUGAAAUUUUCAUAGAACGUAUUGGUUUGGGUUUACAGGUUUAUGUUGAAAUUGUUUAGUGUAAAUUAGCGAUGAAUAUCCCGAUUCCUUCAAGGUCCUGGGUGUUUGUUUUCACAUUUCACAGCUGGAGAAUUAUGGCAUGCCAUUCAGCAGAACUGAAGAUGGGAGGAUCUACCAGCGCGCUUUUGGUGGACAGAGCCUCAAGUUUGGGAAAGGCGGGCAGGCCCAUCGGUGCUGCUGUGUGGCUGACCGCACUGGCCACUCGCUGCUGCACACGUUGUAUGGAAGGGUGAGGCCACCCUGGGUGCAUGGGGUGACAGGACAUGGUCUGGUUAGGCCAGGCAUGUGGUGAUGAGCUGGAAACAGGCCACUCUGGGACAGGUCAGAAGGUCAGCAUGUCAGCCCUGGGGUUGCUUAAUAAACAGCAGACUAACAUGGCAGGAUGUAUAUUUGUUAAUUGUUAAUUUGAAAGUGUCUAUUUUAGAAAAUUAAAUUGAUCUGCCAUACCGAAAGUAUAAGAACAGAGCAAGUAUUUUAGGACUCAGCACCUCUGAGUCCCUGAACUAAUUGAUUUAAUACUUAAGUGUUCAAACUGGACUAAGGUUUGGGGGACAGUAGUUACUGGAUAAUCAGGGCCUACUUUGGCAUAGCCAAGUAAUCAAUAUUUGGAAUAACUCUGAUUCAUAAUAUUCAGUAUUCUGAAUUCUUGCUCUCAAAUGGGGACAGAUUCUUGAUUUGCAAAUGUUAGGACCCUGGUGGCAGCUUCGGCUGAGUGCAUUGACACACGUGUGACAGGAUCUGCCCAUCCUGCAGCAUACUGUGUCAUGUUGGGGAGCUGGUGGUUUUGUGAGAGCCCUUCAUGUUUACUGAGCAGCUACAGCAUCUUCUCUGACAUGCAUGACAUGUGUAUGUCCUUCUUAUGGUCUGAUCUGAUCAUACAGCUGAGAGCAGGGUACCUUUCGUGUUGAUCCACAACAGCAUCAGCACUAUGGUUGAUGCAAGUAAAGUCUGUGGCUUCUUUUGCAGCCCAGGGUUUACCCUGUCCAUUUGUUACACACCACAUCAGAGCCCUUGACUUGUUCAUAUGAGCAGUGUUGCUGAAAUGUUAGUUUAACACCCUAAAUGCAAUUGAAACUGUGGGAUUCUUUUUUCUUUCAUGUUUUUUAGUCUCUGCGAUAUGAUACCAGCUAUUUUGUAGAGUAUUUUGCUUUGGAUCUCCUGAUGGAAAAUGGAGAAUGUCGUGGUGUUAUUGCGCUGUGCAUAGAAGACGGGUCCAUCCAUCGCAUAAGAGCAAAGAACACUGUUGUAGCUACUGGGUAGGAGUCUAACUUGUAUUUAGUUUUUCUGCAGGAAAGUUGGGUCUCCGAGUUUCUUUAAAAAAAAAAAAAAUGGAGGCAGUGACCUAACCCAGGAGCAUAAUAAGCUUUGCCAGUCUCAGUUCCAUGUCUCCAAAGGGGACAAUCAUAGCACCUGCCUCAGGUGGGUGAGGAAGUAUCUGUCUUCAGUUUGCACCUGAGAGGACCCUUGAGGAAACGGGUCUGGAGAGUCACGUGACACUUCCUGGCUUAACCUGUCUUUUGCUUUAGUGGACACUGUGUUUAUACUGAUUUCUGGUGUAGAUAAGUGCUGUUUGUUCACAUGAUGAAACUAAAUUACAUUUCUUACAUUGUCAGUCCGUUAUUUUAACCCUUUACAAGAGUGAGUCCAUAAAGCAAAAAUUUCAGCAUUAAAGCAGCACACGCUUCUCAGGGAGGUCGUUCAGAUAGCAUGAAAGUGCCUUGAAGUAUAAACGAGAGUGCCUCCUCCGUCUCCCAGGCUCCCGCCCCAGUUGCCCAGGGUAGCGCGUGCAGACAGCACCUGUCACGGUGCUGCGGGCUGCUCUGUCCGCUCUGGUGCCACUAGAAAGGCGAUCCUGAUGGGACGCCAUGUGUCACUGCUUUCUCUCUGCUGGCCCGUCUGUUUUCCAGAGGCUACGGGCGCACCUACUUCAGCUGCACAUCUGCCCACACCAGCACCGGUGACGGCACUGCCAUGGUCACCAGGGCAGGCCUUCCCUGCCAGGACUUGGAGUUCGUUCAGUUUCACCCCACAGGUAGGACGGGACCACUUUCAUGGGGUCAGGACUCUCAUACCUCUCGAUGCCCCUCUGUAGUCCCACACACUAGCACAUUCUCAGAGCCCAGCUUGUCAUUUGCUCAAGGAAGUUUUUUCCAUUUCUCCCGAGGCAGUUUAGGCCACCACCUUGCCUUGGCGAUACCUGCUCCAGUCGUAAAGCUGGAGCUUUAUGUAAAGACUGUUCAGUGUCCCUCUCCCCAACUCGAUUGUCAGCUCCCGGAGGUGGGGACAGGUGCUGCAGUUCACAGUGCCUGGCACAUAGUAGGACCUCAUCAGUGUUUCCUGAGUGAAUGUCCCGAGAGCUGUUGAUCAGAGUUGUGGCAUGGGCAGAUUCCAGUGUUACAGGGAAAACAUCAGGCUGUCCAGUAGAGUAUAAAGUCGGAACGAGCUAUGGCAGAUGCGGCCCCCUGAGAUGUUAAUGACUGUGGUGCCAUUUGUGGGCACAUUGAGCUCAUCUUGCGUCCUCAGACAGUUGAGUGUGCAAAUGUGGAGUUCAGACGGGAGGUCUAGGCUGCAGGUGCAGAAUUGAGAGAGUUCGUUAUUCAGAUAUGAAUUGGAGAGAGAGAUCUGCCUCUUGGGACAGGCAAGUCUCAAUCUGGACUUUGUUUCUAGUUGCUUUUCUGACCUGUCAACUGAGGGGACACCACACUUUGUGGAAGUAGCCUCCCGCCAUGCUAAAGAACCAGACCUGGGUUUUCUCUUUGCUCUGUCAGUAUAUUUUUUCUGAUCCCUGGCAGGGAUAAAAAGUAAAAAAUGUUUUAGGUAGUUUUUUAAUACUGGUUUUGGGGGUUUUUGUUUUGUUUUAAAGUUUACUUAUUUAUUUUGAGAGAGAACAUGUGAGCGGGAGAGGAACAGAGAGACCAGGAGAGAGAGAAUCCCAAGCAGGCUCCGUCCUGUCAGCAUGGAACCUGACUUGGGGCUCUGGCUCCCAAACUGUGAGAUCAUGACCUGAGCCAAAAUCAAGAGUCAAAACACAAUCGACUGAGCCACCCAGGUGCUCCAGGAAAUUCUUGUUCUUUUUUUUUUUUUUCUUUUAAAAGUUUGUUUAUUUUUGAGAGAAAGAGACAGUGUGAGCAGGGGAGGGGCACAGAGAGAGAGAGACAGAAUCCGAAGCAGGCUCCAGGCCCUGAGCUGUCAGCACAGAGCCUGACUGGGGCUCGACCUCAGCAACCGUGAGGUCAUGACCUGAACUGAAGUCAGAUGCUUAACCAACUGAGCCACUCAGGUGCCUCUGCUUUCUUGUUCUUAAAGCAAGAAAACUCUUCUGGUGUGGUAAUGACAGUUUUAACUUUCAGGUGACAUUGACAUAGGUGUUUGUCUCCUUGUUAAAAUUCAGGUGCUUGGCAUUCCUUAUUGAAGGGACAGUGAGAUUAAGGGCACAGACCUGCCUAGUUGCCAGGUGUGCGUUUGGCUCUGCCUUCCCAGCUGCAGAACACUGACAAGUUCCUAAGCUAUCAUUGCUCUCUCUGAAAAUAGGGAUAUUUCCUGGGGUUGUUACAAAACUUAGAGUUGUAUACAGCAAGUACAGUAUAAGUAUGAACGGUGGUAAUUAUUGCUGUUGUUAACCAGUUUUUAUUUUUUUAUUUUUUUUUUUAAGUUUUUAUUUUUAUUUUCAAGAGACAGAGAGAGACAGAGCAUGAGUGGGGGAGGGGCAGAGAGAGGGAGACACAGAAUCCAAAGCAGGCUCCAGGCUCUGAGCUGUCGGCACAGAGCCCAAUGCGGGGCUCAAACCCAUAGACCGUGAGAUCAUGACCUGAGCCAAAGUCGGACACUCAACCGACUAAGCCACCCAGGCGCCCCAUUAACCAAUUUUUAGAUACGAAUUUUCCAAGCUGGUUUUUCUUACCUAGUCACAAUUUCAUGCUACAAAAGAACAUUCUGCAAUUAAAACAAACCUGAGAUAUUUAACUCAUGCUUGGUUGUGCUGAAAGCUGAAAAGCUGUUGGAAUUGGAAUAUUCAGCCAAGCUGUGUUGUUACUACAUUAGCUGCCCUUUCUCCUCACUGCUGCUUCAUUGGUGCUUUUUGUUGUCAAAACUUCCUACUAUUCCUUACUUAACCUGUCCUUUGUCUUAUUCUGUUGUGAGCAUCAUGCCCCUUGCAUACCCUUUUCCUUUCCACCCCCAGAAACGUAUUGGAAAAAAAUUUGCAUUUGAAAUAUUGACCUAGCAAUUGUUAGGUUAUAAUCAUCUAAUUAACUGGGUUCUUUGCAGGUAUAUAUGGUGCCGGUUGUCUCAUUACAGAAGGGUGCCGUGGAGAGGGAGGCAUUCUCAUUAACAGUCAAGGCGAAAGAUUCAUGGAGCGAUAUGCCCCGGUUGCAAAGGACCUGGCAUCCAGAGACGUCGUGUCUCGGUCCAUGACUCUGGAAAUACGUGAAGGAAGGUCUGUGUCAUUCUAUCCAAAGGUGUCUGAGUGCACACACACACAUGCACACCCUCCUUUCUCUUGGGUGGCUGCUAUUCAAGUCUACAUGUGCACCUGGGCUGGUGUGGCUUCUGUGUGAGUUUUAGCAACUCACCUACCCCACCCAACUCUGAGUAGGCUGCCUCUCCUCCCCUCUGAUGGUUGUUUGUCAAUUUAUGAUAUCCCUCUAAAAACCUACAUUUUGGGAAGUUAAGCUGGUUUGACUUCAGUCUCUCUCAAAUCUGUGGAACAUCAAUUGUGUGUAUGAGUGUUAUGAUAGAGACAGACACUCUGUGUGGGGGAGCAAGACACACAUGCCCACAACCUAAGUUAGCAUAUGGGCCUUCGGUGCUGUUUGGGGACCCACAUGCGUUCGAGACCUUCACUGUGCAGGCUCUUGAGUGCCAGUGCUGCCUUACGAUGGUGAUCUUUCUUGUAUCUUUGAUGUUAUAACUUCUAGAGAUUUUAUAUUUGGAGUGUUUGCAUUAAAAGGACUUUCUAAUGCAUUUACCAAGGAAAACA